Long non-coding RNA from Mus musculus (house mouse), 787 nucleotides. RefSeq annotates it as predicted gene 12348. The record is from RefSeq and is marked validated. The transcript is spliced from 4 exons. NCBI's taxonomy places the organism in Eukaryota, Metazoa, Chordata, Mammalia, Rodentia, Muridae.
GCCCCACCCUAGCCCUGAGCAGGUACAGAGCCAUCCUUUGGCCCCGGGAAGAGGCCUUCUGUCCCCAGUCCUAUCCUCUAAAAGCUCCAGCUUUUCGUUUCUGUCCUAACUUUCCUGGGGUUGAGUCUCCACCCAGGGCCAACUAGGGGAGAAGGCUGCGAAGAACUCACACUCCUUGCAGACCAGGUCCUUCAGCCCCUGCCCACGGAUGUUGGGGGAGGGGCUUGUUCGGCAUGACCCCUUCAAGGCCAGAUCUGUAGAGACACUAGCAGCCUGAAGACCCUGGAAGUCUCUGGAUCCCCUGCUGGAGGAGUCCUCACUUCAGCUAGAGCUGGAGGAGUCUCUCGAGGAGGGGUCACCACCAACGGUACCCAGCAAACAGAGCCAUGGUGCGGGGAUGAAGCAAAGAGACCACCACGCACACCUCCAAGGUCUCAGUGACUCAGUAGGAAUUGGGGCAGCACUCAGAAUCUAGGGCCAGGCCCCUGGGGAAUGUGAGAGUCGAGGUCCUUGAAUAUUUCAUCAGCACUUCAGCUCCGGUUGAAGCAGCAGCCAACUUACCGCUCAUGGAUAAUUUAUGAUCCCAACAGAGAACCUGGAAGUAGUGAGGGGGGAGGGCAUGGGGGGGGGGGAGGCAGGGCCAAGCUGUAGAUAAGAGUGAAGGAGAGAAGCCAGCUGGAUGGGAGUGUGUGAGAGGUCUGGGAGCAGGAGCUCCCAACACCAUGAGACUCUUCCAUGUUUGAGGAUACCAAGGCAUUAAAAAUCAAUAAACAGCACAGUGAUGGAG